ACGCACGCUGGCGGCGUGCUUAACACAUGCCAGUCGCACGGAAAGGCCCUGCUUUUGUGGGGUGCUCGAGUGGCGAACGGGUGAGUAACACGUGAGUAACCUGCCCUUGACUUUGGGAUAACUUCAGGAAACUGGGGCUAAUACCGGAUAGGAGCUCCUGCUGCAUGGUGGGGGUUGGAAAGUUUCGGCGGUUGGGGAUGGACUCGCGGCUUAUCAGCUUGUUGGUGGGGUAGUGGCUUACCAAGGCUUUGACGGGUAGCCGGCCUGAGAGGGUGACCGGCCACAUUGGGACUGAGAUACGGCCCAGACUCCUACGGGAGGCAGCGGGGGGGAAUAUUGCACAAUGGGCGGAAGCCUGAUGCAGCAACGCCGCGUGCGGGAUGACGGCCUUCGGGUUGUAAACCGCUUUCGCCUGUGACGAAGCGUGAGUGACGGUAAUGGGUAAAGAAGCACCGGCUAACUACGUG
RNAcentral lists this ribosomal RNA (467 nucleotides) under uncultured bacterium. RNAcentral describes it as "partial 16S ribosomal RNA". It matches the Rfam family "Bacterial small subunit ribosomal RNA", at positions 29 to 507 of the family's 1533-position model. The record is from RNAcentral.